UCUAGGUAUUGUGGUGCACACCUCUUAACCCAGCUACAGGGGAGGCUGGGAUCUCUUGAGCACAGUUCUAAGUUGCACUGAGUUGCCGUGUGCUUUAUGACUUGAUUGUCCACACUAAGUUUAAGCCCUGGGGGAGGAGGGAUCCACAGGGUUGCAUAAGGAAGAGAGAAUUGAUCCAUGUCAGAAAUGGAUCAUGUCAAAGCUCCCAACCUGGUCAGUAGUGGGAUCAGGCUCUUGUACUUCUAGCCUAGGCAAGAUAGGGAGAUCCAGU
This 271-nucleotide small RNA is filed under the name Phascolarctos cinereus (koala). Its description in RNAcentral is "Metazoan signal recognition particle RNA (ENSPCIG00000013733.2)". The record is from RNAcentral. Lineage: Eukaryota; Metazoa; Chordata; Mammalia; Diprotodontia; Phascolarctidae.